Molecule: ribosomal RNA, 700 nt
Filed under: uncultured bacterium
Lineage: Bacteria
Description: bacterial SSU rRNA
Rfam family: Bacterial small subunit ribosomal RNA
Source: RNAcentral
AGUGGGUUUAGACCCACGGCGAACGAGGUAGUAACACGUAGGUAUCUGCCCUCAAGUCAGGAAUAUCCCAUCGAAAGAUGGAGCAAUACUUGAUAGUCUCUACGGAGUAAAGAUUUAUCGCUUGAGGAAGAGCCUGCUUAAUAUCAGCUUGUUGGUAAGGUAACGGCUUACCAAGGCUAUGACAUUUAGGGGAGCUGAGAGGCUGACCCCCACCGACGGAACUGAGACACGGUCCGUACCUCUACGGAGGGCAGCAGCCGAGAAUAUUCCGCAAUGGACGAAAGUCUGACGGAGCGACGCCGCGUGAUGGAUGAAGUCCUUCGGGACGUAAACAUCUUUUAUCGGGGAUGAAAUUUUGACAGUACCCGAGGAAUAAGGGGCUCCUAACUCUGUGCCAGCAGGAGCGGUAAUACAGAGGCCCCAAGCGUUACCCGGAAUCACUGGGCGUAAAGGAUGCGUAGGUGGCAGUGCUAGUCUUUAGUGAAAUCCUUCGGCUCAACCGAAGGGAUGUCUAGGGAAACGGCACAGCUAGAGGAUGUAAGAGGUAUGCGGAACUCACGGUGUAGGGGUAAAAUCCGUUGAUAUCGUGGGGAACACCAUAGGCGAAGGCGGCAUACUGGGACAUUCCUGACACUGAGGCAUGAAAGCGUAGGUAGCGAACGGGAUUAGAUACCCCGGUAGUCUACGCCCUAAACGAUGU